Molecule: long non-coding RNA, 2521 nt
Filed under: Hordeum vulgare
Lineage: Eukaryota; Viridiplantae; Streptophyta; Magnoliopsida; Poales; Poaceae
Description: long non-coding RNA (HVUL_LNC000274)
Source: RNAcentral
UAUAUUUCAUUUCAGUAGCACAUCACAUAAAAUAUAAUACAUCAUCCACCGACUCCUCUACACAUCAAGGUUCAAGGCCUAACAAGUGUACAUCAAAAUAAUUUUACAAGUGCACAACAUAAUACUUAUGCAACUACAAGUGCACAGAAAGAGGAUCCAACAAGUGCACAAUCGCACAUCAAGAGAGCUCUACAAAGAUUGAAUGAGAAGCACAAGUUUCUUCUCAUCCUCUUCCUCUACACAAUCUGCCACUCCUACUAUUGUCACCUGCAAGAAGAAAAUGAUGGCAAGGCUCAGAAAGCAGACCAAGGAAACUAACAUGAUAGAGCAUCAAAUACUAAUGCAUAGAUAAGCCUGUCGACAACGAGCCACAUACUCCCUCCGUCCCAAAAUAAGUGUCUUAAACUUAAUACAAUUUUGUUCUAGAGCAAGUGCAAAGUUGAGACAGUUAUUUUGAGACGGAGGAAGUAUAAUAAUAAAAAGGGCAGCAGAUAAUAAGAGAUUAUAGGUCCGUGCACAUGUACCACAAAGAAUAUCCUUAUAUUACUUAUCUCAAAAAUUCCAUGUAGAUGUUAGACAUGCUUGAAAAGAAACCUAGCUUAAAGAGAAAAAUAAAUCUACAAUCUUAGGAUAAUCAGGACAAUCUUGGUAUAACAAGAAUCAGCCCACGAGCAACAGAUCAGGAUAUAUAUAGAUAUAAAAAUUAACGAUUGUAAUUUUAGCUCAUAACCAGUUCUAAAAGUUCUAGUUAAGCACUUGCUCCUAACAAUGGAGAAAUUGUGAAUAAUCUAUAGUAAGUUUUCCCAAUUAAUUUCUUCUGGACAGUGAACUCAAUCACCUCUUCUAAGUUUAGUUGAAAGUAGAUAAGUCAUUUUGGGGCAUUACAUUGUUUCUUUAGUUUAAUUAGCUAUGCUUCUUAUGAGCAAAAACAAUAGUUUAGUUUAGUUUUAUAUAUUCUUUUAGUUUUAUGCUCACUCAGGGAUCCAAUUGGAUACGAGCAUCUUGCCGGCAAAAAUGAUGUUAUGUUUUGAUGGAUUUUUUAUUAAAAUAGAGUUGUUUGCAAAGAUGGAGUGUAGGAACGCCAAACAGGUGGCACACCUUGCAUUUUUAUCUGAAGAAACAAGGCAGGUCGAAUAAGGAUCAAAUAACACAAUGAAACUUCCCAUCAGAUACUCCAUGCAAUACUAUGUAUAUACCUAUGCACACCCAGCAAUACAGAAUAUAUACAAUAUAUUUAUUCAUAACUAGUAAAACUGAAUAUAUACUUAUGCACACAGCACACCUAUUCAACAAAGUGGGUAUAGAACCACUAAGACAGUUAAUAGCAACUUUAACCACAACAGUUGCAUAUAUACUUAUUUUCUCAUGUUUAUUACUGUACUUUCUACUCGAGAAAGCACUCUCAUUGAUCAAGGGGCUGGAAUGCUUAAACAUAAAAAGAUCAUCUUAAAAAGGCAUGCCUACUAGAAUUCGACAAGAUAAAAUAUAUCCACCUGUAUCAACCUAUAAGCCAAGGCCUCGUAUUUACACGUCCAAAUUUGUAAUGUGGGCCAAAAUAAUUAACAUAUACUUGACAAAUAACAGAAAAUGGUUGACAGGUGAAAACCUUUUGUUUUCGCAUCUUUUUAUCUAUUGUUGCCUCUUAUAUUAUCCCAUGAGAUACUCCAUGCAAUCAUCUCGUGACACCUGCAAGGCAUAAGCGGUUAUAAGACAACUAAUAUCAUGUUAUCUUGUGGUCAUGACACUUGUAGCAGGAUAUGCCAAUGAACAGAACAUAUAAAUGGGGUAGGAAAUACUGGAAGCAUGAAAAUAACGAGGAAUGCUCAAACCAUGCCACCUUGUAAAACAUACAUCUCUAGUCAAUGCUUCUACAUUUAACCAAAUUAUUUAGGAGACCGUUAUACAAACAACUAAGGAAAAUUUCGGUGAAAUAUUACAAAACAGUGGAUAUACUACAUAAAUGAAUCGGGAUUUUGUUCUUACCAUGCAUGUUCAGUUUUACUUAAGCAAAGCAAGACUUGGUCCAUCUCAAGUAAGAUGUACUCUCGCACGACUAACUGGACUACUCAUGCAUGCCUAGAAUUUGUUUGUGUGUACACUAGCUGAAAACGGGUGACAGAGUUAAGCAAAUGGCAGGAACAUCAAUCUUGUCUAGUUGAAAACUACAUAUAGGAGAAAAUCUGGCUUAGUAUUGAGUCUAGCAUUGACAAAUUCCCUGACCAUCGCUAGCACCUUCAGAACAACAGAUUUUAGUUCGUACAUAGCAGCAGAUUUGGAAUAUUCAUGUAAACAUUUAGAAGUCGCAAACACCUUCAUCAAUCGACAUCUUUCAGAAAGAAAAGAUAUAGACUGAUCGAUGUUGAACACAAAGGCAACGACGACAGUGAGGAUGGCACAAACAAAGCUGCAAGAGGCGUGGUCACCUUGGCCACAUACAUGGGAUGCCUAGGGUCCUUGCGCACGACGACAGUGAGGAUGGCACAAACAAAGCUGCAAGAGGCCGUGGUCACCUUGGCCACAU